CCAGCACGGCAUAUACAUUUUAUAUAUGCAUAUAUAUAUAUGCUAAAAUAAUCAGAAAUGAAGACAAAUUUUACUAUAAUACCACCUAAUCAGAUCAGCCAUCUGGGGACUUGGUGUUAGGCCUCUGUCCAUUUGAUCUCAGACCCUGGCAGCCCUCUCUGCUCGCCCUCGAAUCACAAGGAACUACAUCUCCCAGGCUCCCUUGCACUCCGCUUCCUGAUAUGUUGGGCCAGCUACAGAAGCUGACAGAAGGGCAGAGGAAGGAGGAAGCCAGUACAUCUCUCUGCUUUGGGAAGCAACUCCACUGGUGACUACAUCUUCAAGGCUCCAGCUCCUCUGAAGUUCCAGUUUCACUGGGUAGUCUUAGCUCCUGGACUCUGGAGUGUCUUUGAUUCCUCACCCGUAAAAUGGAGUACUUACUGUCUCCUCAGGAUGGCUGCUUACUGUCUGCUUCACAGACUGACAAAGAUAGCUCAAAGAGAACACAGAGGUCAAUCACAUGCUCUAUGGCUAUAGACAGACCUGGCCUGAAUCUCAGCUCAGCCACUUAACCGUGUGACCUGUGGCAAGUUAAUUCAUCUCUCUGGGCCUCAGUUUCGUCUCCUACAUGCUUCUUUAUGUCAUGCUUCUGCUCAAAAACCCUACAGUGGCUCCCAGAAUCAUUCAGAAUCAAGACCAUAGAAACUAUCUUUCUCUGGGGGUCCCUACCCUCCACUCUGUCUAUUGUGGCCCCUGCCCUUGCAGAGCCAAUCAAGCCCAUAGACCCCCUGCUGGUCCUCCACCUCACCAGGCACGCUCCUGAUUCAGAGGCUCUGCACUUCCUGUUCCCCCUGCCUAGAACCACCUCCCUCAAGUUUUAUUUUCCUUUUUUUUUUUUUUAAGAUGUUUUGUAUUUAUUUGACAGAGAGAGGGCAUGAGGGCAAGCAGGGGGAAGUGGCAGGUGGGGGAGGAGAAGCAGACUCCCCACUGAGCAGGGAGCCUGAUCUGGGACUCAAUCCCAGGACCCUGGGAUCAUGAUCUGAGCUAAAGGCAGAUGGUUCACCGACUGAGCCAUCCAGGGCCCUCCCCAAGUUUUCUCUUGGCUUCCUCCCUCACUCUAGCCAGGUCUCUGCUCCAAUGUCACCUCCUGAAGAAAAAGCCCCCAAAUUCCAUCACCCUCUAAGCCAGUGGUUCUUUUGUGUGUGUGUAUUUUUUUUAAAUUUAGGUUUGAUUUCCCAGCAUAUAGUAUAACACCCAGUGCUCAUCCUGCCAAGUGCCCCCCUCAGUGUCCAUCACCCAGUCACCCCA
Canis lupus familiaris (dog) is the source of this 1287-nucleotide long non-coding RNA. RefSeq lists it as uncharacterized. The transcript has 3 exons. The record is from RefSeq and is a predicted model, not a curated record. NCBI's taxonomy places the organism in Eukaryota, Metazoa, Chordata, Mammalia, Carnivora, Canidae.